AAGAACCUUACCAGGUCUUGACAUCCUCUGACAAUCCUAGAGAUAGGACGUCCCCUUCGGGGGCAGAGUGACAGGUGGUGCAUGGUUGUCGUCAGCUCGUGUCGUGAGAUGUUGGGUUAAGUCCCGCAACGAGCGCAACCCUUGAUCUUAGUUGCCAGCAUUCAGUUGGGCACUCUAAGGUGACUGCCGGUGACAAACCGGAGGAAGGUGGGGAUGACGUCAAAUCAUCAUGCCCCUUAUGACCUGGGCUACACACGUGCUACAAUGGACAGAACAAAGGGCAGCGAAACCGCGAGGUUAAGCCAAUCCCACAAAUCUGUUCUCAGUUCGGAUCGCAGUCUGCAACUCGACUGCGUGAAGCUGGAAUCGCUAGUAAUCGCGGAUCAGCAUGCCGCGGUGAAUACGUUCCCGGGCCUUGUACACACCGCCCGUCACACCACGAGAGUUUGUAACACCCGAAGUCGGUGAGGUAACCUUUAUGGAGCCAGCCGCCGAAGGUGGGACAGA
This 507-nucleotide ribosomal RNA is filed under the name Bacillus amyloliquefaciens. RNAcentral's name for it is "bacterial SSU rRNA". It matches the Rfam family "Bacterial small subunit ribosomal RNA", at positions 964 to 1471 of the family's 1533-position model. Lineage: Bacteria; Bacillati; Bacillota; Bacilli; Caryophanales; Bacillaceae. The record is from RNAcentral.